Molecule: long non-coding RNA, 577 nt
Organism: Peromyscus maniculatus bairdii (prairie deer mouse)
Lineage: Eukaryota; Metazoa; Chordata; Mammalia; Rodentia; Cricetidae
Source: RefSeq, a predicted model, not a curated record
ACCUGGGGGCAGUUCUGCAGGCGCCUCAACCAGGCUCUCUGCUGCCAGGUGAGGCUUAACCUCAAGUGCCAACAGGAGGCUGGCUAGAGGCUCCCAUCAUGCUUGGCAUCAGGAGAUGUUCAGGGAAGAGCUCUUGCUGACUCUAUCUUCACCUCUCCUUUCCAGUGGUGUUCUGUGGCACACCGUAAUAGGAAAGUUUAAUUUCUCAGUAUGAAAUGUUACAAAAGGAAGACAAAGACCUGCCACUAGUUGGGAAAACCGUAGAUGUGCCUACGCUAUGGUCAUACCCCAACAAAUCCAUGGGUCCUCACUGAAGAGGAUUUUUGCUUGGCUAAUUUUAAACAUACAGAGGCCCUUUUCAUGCUGAAUGGGACUAGUGCAUCUUUCUUUGGCAAAAGUAAAUUGUAUUAGACAAUUAGAGUGAACAGUGAAUGGCUAAUGCAGAAACUCACAGCUGACAUCUACAUCAGCCUCCCCCUGCCCCUGUACCUUGAUGAACAUCUUAGAAGAAGGGAAUGGAGAAAGUGUAAGAGAUGGAGGAUUGGGAGGAAUUCUGUAAAAUGCUGUCUUCUUCUGG